AGGUGGUCUGAGAAAUUCUUAUGAAAAGGACAACGUUAAAGCUCAACUCCAUGCUGGUUAUCAUUUAUUGAACCCAAGUCCUGUGAUGUAUGCCAAGCGUUUGUUGUAUUUUAACUUAAUGGAUUGUUAAAAAAAUAUAAUAAUAAUUACCACAAGAGGGCAGUAUUUUUUAGAAGUAACAAAUGGGACAGGCAUAUGUGAGGACGACUCAUUUGACAGGUGGAGGUCCUUCUGGAGUCCAAAAAUGACGGCUGUGUGAUUUCCUAAAGCUUUCCAAAACUUUCUUCACGAAGAGACCACCCCGACUAGUCUACAUUCGAUUCCCCCAAAUUGGGAACUCCCGAUCAUCAGGUUCCCUCCUACAGCAGACCAAGCCUUGGUGGGGUUUGGUGAGAAGCCUCCACAAUGACUCGGUGAAUUCUGCGCUCAGCAUUUGAUCUGACCCGAUGCGCCGGUCAGAUGUCCAAGUGGAAAGAAUUCCUAAGG
Long non-coding RNA from Hippocampus comes (tiger tail seahorse), 486 nucleotides. RefSeq lists it as uncharacterized. The transcript is spliced from 4 exons. NCBI's taxonomy places the organism in Eukaryota, Metazoa, Chordata, Actinopteri, Syngnathiformes, Syngnathidae. The record is from RefSeq and is a predicted model, not a curated record.